This 3537-nucleotide unclassified non-coding RNA is filed under the name Hevea brasiliensis (rubber tree). Lineage: Eukaryota; Viridiplantae; Streptophyta; Magnoliopsida; Malpighiales; Euphorbiaceae. The record is from RNAcentral.
GAAAAAAAAAAAACUCACAUUAGAAUUGGUCUCUAACAAGAACACCAAGCACUUGGAGUAUUUAUGAAAAUCUCACUGUAGCACACUAGACAGCCCAGCAAGUAGUCCACUACUUAUGAAAUAACAAGUAUUAUUGUGUGGGUAUGGAAUUUGUACUUUAUGUAGCAUAGCAUGAAAUAACCAGUCUCAUGUAGGAAAUAGGAACAAAACUAGAAAUUCCUAGGAUGCAAUUAACCAAUAAUAAUAAAUUUCCAAAUUCAGUCAAGUAAACAUGAAAAAAUAUAAGUACCCAAUCAAAUUGGAGAAUUCCUUUUAACUGGGAAAAUUGAAGGAUGUUGGGAUAUCUUAAUAAUUAAGACUGCCCAUUAGUGAAAUCCAAGGAUAAGAUUUAAACUCAAAUAAGCCUUAAUCCCAAACUGAUUGGGUUGGCACUAUGGAUUUUUUUCCCCCCCUUCCAUUCAACCUAGCUUUCAGCUACAUCUUCAGAAAAAUCUAGAGCCUCUACUAUUUCACUACUUCUCCCCAUGUCAUCUUCUGUCUUAGGAUAAGAUUUAAAAAGGGGGAAAAAUAACUCCAUGCAAAAAGGUUUAAAGGUUUCCUACUAUUUUGGGCGUGCAAACGCAAUGUUGAUAAGACAUUUCUGAGGAUAACCCACCUCUUAGCAAUCAACUUAAUUCGGAAUAGAGAAAAGCUCUUGAAGUUGAAACUAAAUCCAACUACUAAAUACUGUCCUUUCCUUUAUUGUAUCUUCACGAGGACAAGGGAAUCAUAUAGAAGAACACGUAUAUUAGUAACAAGUAACAAACAAGUGUAGAAAAACUGUAUCUAAAUUGCAGGUUUUAAGAGACAAUAAAGCAAAGGACAGUAAUCAAUGAAUGUAAUGCUCAUAAUAGAAUUUUGUAAGGAGAUGAAUGAAGAUAGGAAUCAUAACAAAUAGAUAAAUAAAUAAGAUUCUAACCUCUGACAAGAGUUGGGUGGAGCUCCCUAGAUGAUUCCCACUGAUAUAAUUUGCCCUGCUUCCAUUACUUGCCAACUCCCCUCUACUACGACCAUUCACCGUCGAACUUCUCCUCUCAUUCUUUGUUGCAAGUGCGACUCUUUUUGUAGCCUCUUGCAAAGCACUUACUGCCACAUUGUACGUGUCUAGGGACUUGGAACCUUCAUCUACAAAUUUGAAGGCCUCAUGGCGUAGGGUAUUAUAUCGAACUGUGUGAGAUUCCAGAUAAUUAGCAUAUACAUCAGUAGAACGUUCUUCCAAUAUAACACUACUCUUGGCAUUCCUCGUCCAUCUUUUCAAAAUAUAAUGUGAUGGGAGAGUAAGCACAUUUGUCACUCUAAAGACUGCCAAAACAUGUCUGCAAAGAAGACCUGAGAACUCAAACAUCUGGCAACUACAAGUUGCCUUCAUCUCUAAAACAUUGAAUUUAACAUAGUAUGCUUUAUGAUCUUCCCCAUACUUUGCAACUUGAUAUGUAAUGCUUUCUCCAUCAUCUUCGGCUUUAGAUGCCAUGAAAGUUAAUGUCCCAACUAGCUCCUCUUGAAAUCUCAUAAAUAAUUUUCUAGUAUAAAGCUCAGAUGCUUGUUUCUCCAUGGGAGAUGGGGUCUUCAAAACUGGUGAAGUAUUCAUUGUAUCAUAAUCUGCUUUCACUUCUUUCUCAUUUCGACUCUCUAGAGAUUUUUCAUACAGCUUAAAAAACUGGUUCAGAUUGGUUGAAGCAUUGACAUAACCAUCAAAGUACGAGUUCAUGCUAUCGCUUCGCUGGGUUAUGGACAUCUCUGCAAAAAAUGUGUCCCGCAAAUAUACUGGGACCCACUGCCUGCGAGCAGAAUAUAUUGUUUGAAGCCAUUCAUGAUCCCGGAGAUCAUAUCUAUCAACAAGUGACAACCAGCAAGAUUCAAAUUCCUCAAUUGACUCGGUCAAAUUAACACAUUUAUGAAAGUCCGCCUCAAAGUUUGGGUGUUUCAGAAACACAUGUGACAGCUUCUCCUGGCAUUUCUUAAAGAUAUGCCAUUUGCAAAAGCGAUGGCGAGUGUCUGGGAAAACCUGCAUGAUGGCUGAUCUUAUCACUGCGUCAUGAUCAGUGGUGAUUGACACUGGAUGGCGGCCAGACAUUGCUGUAAGCCAUGUAUUGAACAGCCAGACAAAGGAGGCUUCAGUUUCAUUUAUUAGGAAAGCACAACCAAACAAAACAGGCUGUCCAUGAUGAUUGACCCCUGUGAAUGGAGCAAAGGGCAACCGAUACCUGUUGGACCGGUAGGUUGUGUCAAAUGUAACAGUGUCACCAAAAUAAGUGUAGUUUGUCCUGGCCUUUGGAUCAGCCCAGAACACAUUACCGGAAUACUGCUCUUCAUCCCCCUGCACAGCAUAAAAGAAAUUGGGAUUCUCAUUAUGCAUUUGCCUCAAAUAGUCCAAAAGCAGCUGGAUAUCUCCUUCUAAACUCCUCUGGCGAUUAUUUCUCAUGUAAUUCCGACAAUCAACCUCUGUAAAACCAACUUUACUAAUUCCACCAUACUCCUUUAUCAAGGCAGACAUAAUUCUACGAGGGCCCAUACCAGCAGCCUGCAAUGUAUCAAUCAAGGUCUUAGCAGGACCAGAUAUUUGUCUAUGAGAACGGAGGCAGUGCACCUGAUCAGGUGGGACCAGCUCAUGGUUGUGUUCUCUAACAAAGCCAGACACAACCCAUUUCCCAGAAUCCUGCAUUUUCACAGACAAAGAUGCUUUGCAACCAACUCUAGUAAUGGUGCGGGGGCGCUUAAUCUCUCUAUCUUUAGUGCGCUUCUCAUUCAAAUUCCUAAACCCUUCUUUGGCACAGACAAAUUGCCUCUGUAUAAUAGCUCCAUCACGCCUAGAACGUCUGGAUGAGCUGACGCGGGUACUAAAACCCACACGCCUGGCAUAUGAAUUGUAGAAGGCCUUGGCAGCCUCUUCAGACUCAAAUUCCAUGCCUUCAUAAGGUUCAAGAUCCAAAAGGUCACCCUCAGGAAGGAAAAUUUCACCACUACCAGCACCAGUAAGAGAAACAGUGGUAGAAGGAGGAGUAUCAGGCAUGUCUUCAUCAUCAACAGGGUGCUCAAUGUCUACUGCAUCAUCAUCAACACCUCCACUUGCACCUCCUAAGCCUAUAUCAAAUUCAAGCACUUCGUUUUCCAUCCUAUCCUAUGAAUUCAACUCCAAACCUCAAUUACAAUGCGAAUUAUACGUGCAAAACAGUAUAAUCUCACAAUCUAAUGGUAAUUACAGUAAAUAAGCUGAAGGGAAGAACUGACCUUUUAUUAAUCCAACUGCCAAUAAUCCACACUGAAAGAAUUACAGAAAAGAGAGAAUCUUUGCAGGUAAAGAUUUUUAGGGUUUCUGGAGAAGAAAAUGAAUUCAGAGAAACCCUAGAGUUAUUCUCCUUUGUGGGAAUUGUUUAAAGAGACCAUGGAAUUCUGUGGACGAUACAGAAAAUUUUCAUUUCAGUUUUUCAAAGGGAUCGAUCGAGCUCGAGCGUGGCGGAUUUUGGGUUCACUUGAAGGCUCUGUUCUUCUAUUCUUUUU